CAGGGGUUCAGAUAAAAAAUCGGCAGCUGGCAGCAGGAAGUGGCUGCCAUUGACAGCCGGAAGGCAGUAACUGACAGCCGGAAGGCAGUAACUGGCAGCCGGAUGGUAGGCGGGACCUGCCGAUCGGUGGGAGCCAAUCAGUAUCGACCAACGUGGGCGCAACCAAUCAGAUAUAACUGCACCCAAACGCUUCAGUAAUGGUUGCGAUUGAUCAAACGUUGCCAGAUGCUGUCCUGUUGGAAAUUCUUCUUUACGUGAUCCUGGAGGAGGGGUGAUGCUACAUUACUAAGUCCGUCUUUGGUUUGUUCCAAAUUCAGAAGUCUGCUGUACUGUAUACAGACUCCUUUCGAAAGAGGGCACAAUCCAGCUGGCUUGACUGAGUAUUUUCUUUUACAUAUUUGAUUAGAGGUUUAAAAAGGUGCCAUAACAUUACAUUUCUCAGUUGCCAUGUCUGAAUGUUUAUCUUCGUUAUAAUGCUGUUUUCAUACUCCUCAUCUCAAUAUACAGGUGGAACAAAAUGGAGAACAAGUCUAAGCCAUGUCAGGAAUUCAACAAAAUGUACACCCUGCAGACACUGCGACGAGGUUUACAUCAACUGCUUACCAGGUCACUGCAGUCACGCGGAUCGAGUACGUAUCCAGACCAGAUGGUGGAUCGCACCUAGAAAGGACCUCUACUGCCCUGAAAGACAGCGGAGACCAGGACAACUUGAGCCCCAGAUACAGAUCCCCUGUAAAGACCUUGUUUUUACUCCAUUUUGUCACAGAUAGAGUUUUGGUUCCUUGUCGCCUCUGGCUUGCUUCGUUGUGGUCACUUCAUUUGCAGCGAUCUCAUUGACAUGAUUGCAAAUGAUUCCACAGAUACUAUUUAAACUGAACCGAGCUGAAGUAUGACUUCACUGAAUUCAAUGAUAAACUGCCUUUUAAACUGACUACAAACUGAGUUUACUAAUGUCCUUCUGCAUUAUUGACUGACACACUAUUUUCCUAUUUAAUACUGUAAAGUUGCUUUGAUUUGAUCUGUAUUAUUAAAAGCACUAUAUAAAUAAACAAUGCUUGACUUGACCAUGUUGCAAGAGGAAAAUGAGGGGAGAUGCACAUCCACCCUGGGUUUUACAGUGAUUGGUGCAAGAUGCUGGAGAAGUAACUCCGUAUACCUCAUCAGUUCUGAUCUAAGAGUCUUGAAAAUACCUCCGGAUUGUUGUUAGUGAUUCUGAUUGAUAUUUUAGUCUGCUUGCUUACUGGAUCUAUUUUAUACUGUUUACAUUGUAAAGCACUGACUUUGACAACUUACUAACCCAGUUACAAAUUUAAAAGCUACUUUAUACUACAUAUAUAUAUAUAUAUAUAUAUAUAUAUAUAUAUAUAGUUGUUUCUUGAAAUACUACAAAUAUAACCGCAAAUUAUGAUUUUAAAUAAAGGUCUCUGAGACUUCUCUCUUUUCAGUCAUUUGUGUAUAUAGCCUAUAAUAAAUAUACAACAUACACCCA
Molecule: long non-coding RNA, 1489 nt
Organism: Carassius gibelio (silver crucian carp)
Lineage: Eukaryota; Metazoa; Chordata; Actinopteri; Cypriniformes; Cyprinidae
Exons: 3
Source: RefSeq, a predicted model, not a curated record